UUACCAUGCAGUCGAGCGGUAAGGCCCUUCGGGGUACACGAGCGGCGAACGGGUGAGUAACACGUGGGUGAUCUGCCUCGCACUUCGGGAUAAGCCUGGGAAACUGGGUCUAAUACCGGAUAUGACCUUUCAGUGCAUGCUGUUUGGUGGAAAGAUUUAUCGGUGCGAGAUGGGCCCGCGGCCUAUCAGCUUGUUGGCGGGGUAACGGCCCACCAAGGCGACGACGGGUAGCCGACCUGAGAGGGUGACCGGCCACACUGGGACUGAGACACGGCCCAGACUCCUACGGGAGGCAGCAGUGGGGAAUAUUGCACAAUGGGCGAAAGCCUGAUGCAGCGACGCCGCGUGAGGGAUGACGGCCUUCGGGUUGUAAACCUCUUUCGACAGGGACGAAGCGAGAGUGACGGUACCUGUAGAAGAAGCACCGGCCAACUACGUGCCAGCAGCCGCGGUAAUACGUAGGGUGCGAGCGUUGUCCGGAAUUACUGGGCGUAAAGAGCUUGUAGGCGGUUUGUCGCGUCGUCCGUGAAAACUUGGGGCUCAACCCCAAGCUUGCGGGCGAUACGGGCAGACUUGAGUACUUCAGGGGAGACUGGAAUUCCUGGUGUACCGGUGAAAUGCGCAGAUAUCAGGAGGAACACCGGUGGCGAAGGCAGGUCUCUGGGAAACACGGAUGCUGAGAAGCCUCACGCGUGGCUC
This 699-nucleotide ribosomal RNA is filed under the name Nocardia brasiliensis. Its description in RNAcentral is "bacterial SSU rRNA". It matches the Rfam family "Bacterial small subunit ribosomal RNA", at positions 49 to 767 of the family's 1533-position model. The record is from RNAcentral. Lineage: Bacteria; Bacillati; Actinomycetota; Actinomycetes; Mycobacteriales; Nocardiaceae.